GCCCUGAUAGUAUAAAAAUUACUCUGGUUUUGUAAACCAAAAAUGAAGAAAUUUCUUCUCAGGACA
This 66-nucleotide transfer RNA is filed under the name Apodemus epimelas (Western broad-toothed field mouse). RNAcentral describes it as "tRNA-Thr". The record is from RNAcentral. Lineage: Eukaryota; Metazoa; Chordata; Mammalia; Rodentia; Muridae.